AUUGAACGCUGGCGGCAGGCCUAACACAUGCAAGUCGGACGGUAGCACAGAGGAGCUUGCUCCUCGGGUGACGAGUGGCGGACGGGUGAGUAAUGUCUGGGGAUCUGCCCGAUAGAGGGGGAUAACCACUGGAAACGGUGGCUAAGACCGCAUAACGCCGCAAGACCAAGGAGGGGUACCUUCGGGCCUCUCCCUAUCGGAUGAACCCAGAUGGGAUUAGGUAGUAGGCGGGGUAAUCGCCCACCUAGGCGGCGGUCCCUAGCUGGUGUGAAAGGAUGACCGGCCACACGGGAACGGAGACACAGUCCAGACUCCUACGGGAGGCAGCAGUGGGGAAUAUUGCACAAUGGGCGCAAGCCUGAUGCAGCCAUGCCGCGUGUAUGAAGAAGGCCUUCGGGUUGUAAAGUACUUUCAGCGGGGAGGAAGGCGAUGUGGUUAAUAACCGCGUCGAUUGACGUUACCCGCAGAAGAAGCACCGGCUAACUCCGUGCCAGCCGCCGCGGUAA
RNAcentral lists this ribosomal RNA (506 nucleotides) under uncultured bacterium. Its description in RNAcentral is "partial 16S ribosomal RNA". It matches the Rfam family "Bacterial small subunit ribosomal RNA", at positions 29 to 523 of the family's 1533-position model. The record is from RNAcentral.